This 459-nucleotide ribosomal RNA is filed under the name uncultured eukaryote. Its description in RNAcentral is "bacterial SSU rRNA". It matches the Rfam family "Eukaryotic small subunit ribosomal RNA", at positions 353 to 813 of the family's 1831-position model. The record is from RNAcentral.
CGACGGGUAACGGGGAAUCAGGGUUCGAUUCCGGAGAGGGAGCCCGAGAAACGGCUACCACUUCCAAGGAAGGCAGCAGGCGCGCAACUUACCCUAAUCUCGAUUCGAGGAGGUAGUGACAAGAAAUACCGAUGCGGGACCCUACGGGUGCCGCGUUCGGAAUGAGUACGAUUCGAACCACCUAACGAGGAACGAUCGGAGGGCAAGUCUGGUGCCAGCAGCCGCGGUAAUUCCAGCUCCAAUAGCGUACGUUAAAGUUGCUGCAGUUAAAAAGCUCGUAGUUGAACGUUCGGGUUCCGCGGGACGGGGCCGCCCCGCGAGGGACGGCGCCGCCCCGGGGCUCGUGAUAUCUUAUCUCGCCGCCCGUCGCGAGGCGGACGGAGGGAUGGAUGAGGUUACCUGGAAAAAAUCGGGGCGAUCUAGGCGGGCGAACCUCGCCAACGAACGAUCGGACAUGGG